RNAcentral lists this long non-coding RNA (6779 nucleotides) under Malus domestica (apple). RNAcentral describes it as "long non-coding RNA (MDOM_LNC017178)". The record is from RNAcentral. Lineage: Eukaryota; Viridiplantae; Streptophyta; Magnoliopsida; Rosales; Rosaceae.
UUGGAGCGAUGGUUCAAUGAAGACGAGGAAAAGAAGAAGGCAGAGAGAGAGAAGAAAGAAAGGGAGAACCCCCAACUGCGCAGCGAAAGCAAGCCCAACUCAAAAGCAAAGAAUGUGGCUUCUAGUCUGAAUGAUGAUUCUUGUUUUUGGGCGCACGUCGAGGAAGCGCUUAUCUUGUGCAACAAACAAGCGAGUAAUCCAAAUAUCGAAUUUGAGCAGUACGUGCUGAAUAAUCUCGAGAAGUUUGCAGUAACGCCUGACAUUUUCUUGGCCCAAAGCAGCUACAUGCAAUGGUGGAACGAGUACAAAAAAAGGGUGGGAAAUGACUAUUCCUCACCACUCGCCAAGGUCAUGAAGCGUCACACUUAUACCAAGUAUGCGGAGGGGGUCUCGGUUCUUGCUGAUAUCUAAUGCAGGAUAAUUAAGUUUUAAGCAAGCAAUUAAAUUAAAUAAAGCAAGAUUAGUUAUGUUGUAUUCAGUGGCGGAGCCACGAUUUUAGGUGAGGAGGGGCCUCACAUAAAUGUGAAAAAAAUUAAAUAAUGCAUGCUUGGAGUUGUGAGCUAAUUAUUUUUGAGGCUCUAAAUGUUUUUUCUAUGUCGAAGUUAACCUUCCAUUCUCAAUUCAAUGAAAAUACUGGGGAUACUAUGUUUUUAGACCAUAUUUUAGAAACCACAUAAUGUGACCUCGUUGAUAAUUGGAUUCCUUUUUUGGUGAUUUAAAGAAGUAGUCCAACCAUUAAGUACGAUACAAUCAUGCGGUCACAAAAUAUGGCUCAAGUAGAAGCUAUCUAUAGCAUCACUCCAAGUCAAUAUAGAAUAGAUUGGGAAUUUCCUAACAAAAAAUGAGAAUUAUGGAUUGGGAAUUUGGUGAACAAAAUAUGAAAUUUUAAAAAUUUAGUAAAAAGUUAAAGAGAACAAAGAUAAAAUAUAUAAAUUUCAAGAAGCGGAGAAGAAGAAACUCAAAGUUUAUUAUUCUUCAGUUGGCAAUGUAAAAGAAUAUUUUUUUGAUAAAACUAAACUAGACUUUAGAUUUUAAUUUUAAGAGCUAUUGAUUUGUUUAUAAAAUAAGAUUGUAAAUUUAUUUUUAGGACGAGUUUUGUUGGGAUUGAAAAGAAAAAGAGACUUCUUAUUUUAACUAUUAGUGAAUAGCAAUUAAGAGUUUUGUGUAAACUAAAAGAAGUAUAAUAUUAAGUUUAUCCAAAUAUAAUACAUAAUUAUAUAGAAAAGUUAGUUGGGGGGUAGGCCUUGGCCUAUGGUGUGGCCUUAGAGUGCCUCCGCCCCUGGCUGUAUUGCUCCUGAUCUUCAUAAAGAAAGGUGUGCAGUACUUGCCGGACUUUUUGGCGCUACAACUUUUGAAUAUUUUUGUUUGUGGUUUCGUUUUGUUUUGGGCUCUAGCAUCUAGAUCUCUUUGUUCAAAGUAUAAGAAUGUGUGGGGGUAUUGUUUCAAUUAUGAUGUUGUAAUUUCCACUUCAUAAAGCAAUGACACUCGUUGCAUUUCGAUUUCACUAAGUAUGAGGCUUAUCCUAAUUUCAGUCUUUCAGCACAUUGCUACUAGUGAAGUUUAAAUAUUUGGUAACUGCUUAUGAUUCUUUCUUUUAUCAAUUUUUAUGUGUUAAUGUAGAUGCUUCUAAUGAGUUGAUAUUCUACUGUUUAUUUUACCUUAUUCUUAGCUAUAAUUUAUUGAUUAUUUUGGUUGAAUUUUGAUACUUUGUUCUAUAUUUCAAUUACAGGACAUGUGAAUCUACUUUGGGCAUAAAGUGAUCAAACGAAGGAAUUUUGGAGUAAUUUCAAUUGGAAUAGAUUCGUGAGUCUUUCAAGAUGAUUGUGUCAAAAUUCUAGAAUUUAAUUCCAAGCCGUUUGACCGUGGCAAAGAAAAGAAGACUCAGCGUGCAACUUUCCCAAUUGUUUUAUGGUUAUUCGUAACUAAUUUCCGUUUACUAGAACAAGAUUACUAGCCUUAGCAUGAAUAUGUUGUAAUGACCCGUCUCAGAUUGUAUGAAACACAGAUCGUCGAGAACAAUUUUGUAAUUUCACGUUUGGAAGAUAUUUGUAUUCUUGAGUUUAGUGGACCUUAUUUUGUGAGUCACGAGGCCCACAUGUUUCCCUUGUCUCCCGGCUGCCUCUCUUCCCUCUCCCCGUCACUCUCUUUCCCUCCCUUCACUCUCUCUAAAACUCUCUUCUCUCAUCUGUCUCUCUAACCUUCCUUCUCCGGGAAAGCACACAAACACAACAACAACAGCAGCAGCUGCACAACACCAUCCCUCACCCUCUAUGCGAACCUCACGAACCCAAAAACGGUGAGCGGACUUUUCCCCAGUUUUCCGGCGAGACGCAUUUUUUGGCCAUAUCCGGCCAGCUUUUGGCUUCUAAAUAGGUAAAAUCGUAUUUCUCUCCUCUUAAGCUUCGUUUUGACAUAUUAUGGGUCCGAUUUGACUAAGAAAUGAGGAAGUUAUAACCUUUUAAAGUUUACCUAGUUUCCGGCGACCCCCACGGCUUUCAAGUCAUUUUCCGGCUAAACCACGGCUAUUUAGCCGUGGAGAAAGGUACCAUUCUCUUCAUUUCGUCAAUAAGUAUGAUUUUCAUCUAUGAAUCACUUGAUUUCGUCGAGUAUUGAAGAAGUUAUGGACGUUUAAAGUUUACUCAGUUUCCGGCGUGUUCCCCCGUUUUUCUGCGGACCAGUCAGUUUUCAGGCUAUUUUCCGGCCAUCUCCGGCAACCUUUGAACUUCCAAAUAGGUAUAUUCUUGUUCUACACUUUCCUAGUUUCGUUUUGAUAUAUUAUGAGUUCGUCGCGAAACAUUUAAGAUGACGGAAUUAGGUCGGGCAACAGAGCCUGACCCGAUGAACAUGACGACGAAAGUCCGUCAGGUAAGGCUGCGUUGACCAUAUUGUAUUGCUACUAGGUGAAUUCGGACAAAAAAACAGAAAGCUCAACGGCCAUUCCCUAGCUCAGAUUAACUCGUUAGAUUUCUUUGUAAAUUUCUUUGUAUUCUUCCACGAAUGUUUAGUUGCUAAAAUCAAAUCAUGUAUUAAAUUACUCUGGAAUUUUCGUAACGUAAGAACAAGCUGGAAGCAACAUGGAAUAAAUAAUUAUUCUGAACUUUAACACGUAAACGUAGAUAAGAAGGCCAGAGGAAAAGCAUCGGGGCAAAGGUCCAACUCCCUCUCCUCCGGGAACCUUCCAGGAACAAGAUCCGUAGACGACGACGUAGACUUUCCUGUGCAUUGUCGACUUGGCGGGAAAUUCCCUCGUGGAACUUGGUGGAACAAUGACGUCCAUAACAAUAGUAAUGAUAGGACUUUCCUCUUCUAUAUAAAGAAAGACACUGAGCAUUCUGGUUUCCAAAUCUCUCAAUCUACUGUGUUUUUAAGCAGAUCGCCAGAAGCUUGAAGAUGAACAACCAGUAAGUUAACUUCAAACUCCUCCGAUCCUUGUUCUUCUUUGAAUCCUUUGUCAUUGAUUUUCCUUAUGGUUUGUUAGGCCUAAGUAUGAUUAUGCUCAAUAUAGUUUGGCAAAUUUCCACUUCAUCCAUGUGUGUCGAUUGUCGUGAUUAAGCAGACAUGUCUAGGACGGCUUCUGGAAUGGCUACAAGUAUUUUGCAUGAAACUUCUUAGGGUUAAUUUUGGGGAAAAAAUUUACCGAGUAGGAUUAUCUCCCCUCCUGUUCUCGUCCAUUCCUCUCACACAUUGCUUUUUGUUUUAUUGUCUUUAUAAAAAAAAAUUAAUAUAAGAUGUUAACGUGGUUUAACCGUGACCGUUGAAAUAGAAGGGAAGAGAAGGGAAGGAGAUGAGGAUCAGGAGGGGGGAGCCUCCAAAACCUACAAAGCGCGUCUAGAUAGUAGAAGCUUUUUUUAAGAAGAAUUAAAAAUUGGGUCCUUCGCUUUUUUUAAGGAUUGGGUCCUUCGCAUUUACCCAACACCAAAUUUUGUUCCCUCAACAAAAAAAAAAAUUGAGAAGAAUUAAAAAUUUUCUCACAAAGUUAAAAUAAAAUAAUGUUUUACCAAUAAAAUAAAAUAAAUAAAUACGAAUUAGCAUAUAAAGUACAUUACUUGAAUUGGAGCAUUUUAGUCAUCACAUCGAUUUUCAUUCUGAUUCAUGUGAGUUAGUAAACAGUUUAUAUUGUUCAGUACUAUUCUUACUCUUAUUUUUUAAAAUUUUAGUAAACAGUUUCAAUAUGAAUCUAAUUCUAACAUAUUCCAAACUCUUCAAUUCAAUUUUUUCUUCUUUUGAAUAUGGAAUAGUAAACGACCCAUUAAAUUUUUAUCCCAAAUAUAAUCAAAAGUAGUUUUGAUUGUUCCACUGACAUUUUUAACUAUUUCAACAGCUUUCCCUCUGUUUAACUUUGCUUCAAUUUUUUGUUGGUGGACAGAAUUAGCAGUGCGGGGCUUGAACUAGCAAAUGUGCUGGUGACUUCUCCUCCCCUGCACCAGUCAUGGGACGCGGUUCAAAAGCAAAAGCUCCAGACAGCUGCUGAUCCGAAUGCACAAAUGACCUUAUACAUUAGUGAAACCAAGCACUCAAACACCACCAUCAUAUCUUUUCUUACUGCACCAGUAGAGGUUCAAGAUCCACAAGCGAUGAUUUCAUCGACGACUCUCAAGGACACAAAUUUUCUUCUCUUUGAGUUUUUGUGCAGCCAAAAAACACCAAGUUACUUCGUCAAUGAAUUGGCAAUCAAAUUCUUCGCCUUGAGUCACACCAACCUCGAUCUUUUGCGAACAAAGGUGUGUAAUGUUAUCUCUGAUAAUAUUUAAAAAAAAAGUUUCUUCGCAUACGAGAAAUCCUUAUAUAAGAACUUGUUCAUUCAUUGCCUACUUAAAAAUAGACAUAGAGACGGAAGAAAGGACGAAUCAAAUAGUUUAUUUUUUUUUUCCCAAUUUUUGUCUAUUCUUCACCUACUGAAUCAAACUUUUUCAUUGCUUUGACGACUAUUAAUUUUAGUGAGAAAUGGUUAGAAAUGAUAUUUAUAAUGUUAGAUUACUUUAUACUUAAUUAGUUUGGCUUCUUUGACAACUCUUAAUAUUAAUAAGAAACACUUACAAACACCUCAUUGUUAGAGUUAUAAGAGCCGAAUGUCAUAAAAUUGAUUCUAUUUUGUUUUGUUGUUGUUCAAAAUGGAGUUGAAUGUUUUUUUUUUUUUACCACGAAUGUAUUUCGAGGAACUUAUUUGUAAAGACGUCUCCGAAUUAAUUAUAUAGCAGUUCAGUAAUUGACCAACUUAAUGUAAUAUUUCAGCUGGUAGAAAGCAGCAAUUCCAACUCAUCGAUACUUAUCACUGGACAUUCUUUUGGAGGCUGUGUGGCUACCCUUUUCACCUUAUGGCUGCUACAAAGCCUCAACUUGUCGAAAGCGAAGCGUCCCCUUUGCAUCACUUUCGGUUCACCCUUGACCGGUGACGAACAACUCCGACAAUGUGUGUUGCAAUUCUCAACAUGGAGUUCUUGCUUCUUGAAUGUAGCCUCUAUCAACGAUCCUGUACCUAAAGCCUUCCUAACCGCUUCGCAAGCGAGUGAUUACAAGCCUUUCGGAACAUUCCUAUUGUGCUCCGCUUCGGGUGGUUCUUGCUUUGAGGACCCAGAUGCCAUUUUGCAACUGUUGGUGGAAACCGGCUCUCAGAGUGCUCAAAUUCAAGGUCCGAAUUUGGGGUUUCAGUAUUUCGAUUACGGACAGAUUUUGAGUGAUCUCAAGCUGAAGGCAUUUUCUAGAGAUGUCUUUGAGUUGGUUGAAGAGGAUAGAGUUCCACUUAAAGCUGGAAUUAAAACACAAUUGGCAGCAAUAUUUGGAGUUAAUAGCUCACAGGUAUCCAACUUUCCACACAAAUAUUUGAUUUGAUGAUGAUUCAGAGAAUGGUUUCUGCACAAACCUGUUUAUUUUUGUCUCUUGAUUUUCUUUUACUUUAUUUAAUCCGAAGAUUGGAAAUAAACACAGGUGUGCGGGGGGCAAUCACAUCCCUUGUUUUUACUUCUACUAACUUUUUUCGCAAAUCAUUUUGUAAGUCAUUGCAGCAGCAGCAACCCGACAUAAAUUUCGGCAAUCUGAUGCAAAAGAUGGAAACUCAAGAACGUAACCACGCAAUCCAGAAGACGCAGGUUUACAGUUCUUUCUGGAAAUUGAAUGAGAUUAAAAAGUACAUGGCCUACAUGGAAGGGUACAAGAAGGAGUCCAAAGAGAUGGGAAUUGGAUACUAUGACAGGUACAGAAACAAGCGUUGCUUGGGUGACAUUAAUGCCGAAGAGUACAAGAAGAAGCUCUCUAAUUACUGGGAGGACACGGUUGCAGAAGUUGAGAGCAAUCCCCAGAAAGAAGGAGCCGCAAUGCGUACUCGUUUCCUAUUUGGUGGAACGAAUUACAGAAGGAUGAUCGAACCGCUUCACAUUGCAGAGUACUACAAGGAAGGUGGAAAAGAUUACAUAAAGGAAAGGCCUCGACAUUUCGUUCUGUUGGAGCAAUGGUUCAAUGAAGACGCGGAAAAGAAGAAGCCAGAGAGGGAGCAGAAAGAAAAGGAGAACCCCCAACUGCGUGGCGAAAGCAAGUCGAACUCAAAAGCGAAGAAUGUGGCUUCAAGUCUGAAUGAUGAUUCUUGUUUUUGGGUGCAUGUCGAGGAAGCGCAUAUCUUAUGCAAUGAACAAGCGAGUAAUCCAAAUGCCAAGCAAAUGCUGAUGGAAUUUGAGCAGUACGUGCUGAAUAAUCUCGAGAAGUUUGCAGUGACGCCUGAUAUUUUCUUGGCCCAAAGCAGCUACAUGCAAUGGUGGAACGAGUACGAAAAAAGGGUGGGACAUGAC